UUGGAAAGCUUUUGGGAGCGACGGCUUCAGCUAGUCAGUAUAGAUGAGUCAUCCUGAUAGAUUCCAGAAGAACUGAAUGCUCUAUGAAAAUGUGCUUGAAGAAACUACGAGGGCCAUAGACACCCGAACAUAUUCGUUGUUUGUUUUGUUUUAUUAAACAGAAUUAGCGUAUGACUAGUUCGUACAUCCGCCUCAAAAAUCGGAGGUUCCGAGUUCAAAGCUCAGCCCUGGACUACUGUGUAGCGUUGGCGUGUUCUCCCCAUGCUUGUCAUAUCCACCCCCAGGCCCUCCCCAAGACUGUGGCUGAUCUCAACCUUUCAUAAAGACUCUAGAUGUGUUUUUCUCGAAGUACAUUUGAAAGCUAAGCGCCACUGACUUGUAUUUGGAGUUUGACUGAAACGCACCGCUGCGUUCCCCCCCUCGCUGCUUGACGUAGAAGCCUCCACGGUGGCGUACACAGAAACACGGGGUUUGAUAAAUCUCCCUUCAAUGGGGGACACACAAUCCAUCCCCGCCGCCCCUGGGUGUAAUCUCACUCUGCGGUGCCGUUGUUUAAUCCGAAAUCAAACGUCUCCCGAGGUGGCUAAAAUGAAAGAGGAACAUUUUCUGAGUGAUUAGCCGGUGACUGGCAAGCAAACAGAAGGGAAAUACGCUCACGCAAAACGCGCGUGCAAUAUUUAUGGGAGGGGAUGUGGCUGAUUGACUGGCGGAAGGUCUGCUGUCCCCUCAGACCGCAGCAGCGCAGUCUCAUGUUGGAUGAGUGAGUGAAUAACAGCAACUGCCAUGUAAAAAAAGAAACUCAUCGGGAAGUCUUGAUUCAAAACUUAACAAGUCAAAAUGAAUCACAAUGAAACAAGGCUCUCCUUCGAACGUGUUGCAGUUCGAAGAGCAGCUUUUGACUUUUACUGUAAAUGGGAACCAUUCACAAGCAAUAAAUGAACCGCAUUUUGGGCAAAUUGACCUCUGGGGACUAGUUAGAAAGCCACAGAGAUGUUCGCGGCGGUAGCUGCUCUAGGUCACCGUUGGCAUUCAAAUUGAUUACGGCCGGGAUGGGGCAACUUAAAUCCUGGAAGGGGGGGUGCACAAUUUUUCAUCAGUGCUACUCAGGUGCCACAUAGGAUCACACACUUCAUGCUAUUUUAAAUCCAAGUGCAAAAUAUGUUCUCUUGAUACAUGUAAUUUUUCAUCGUACCUUUUUCAAUGUGCGACAAGAGCCACUAAACCAACCCAACAAAAAAAGAACUAUGUACUGUUUUGUUUUUUCCAGUGCAAAGGGCUCUUAAAUGAAAAUUACCAUUCAAGGACUGCACAAAACUGACCAUGGCUUUCAGUCUCUAAAAUAAUCAUACCGAUGAAGGAGAAAUGUCCCGCAGAAGUGAAUCAACAGCAGUGCACACCAUAUCUUCUAUCUUCCAGUUACGAUAUUUUGCAUCAACAAUGAAAAUUGUCCCCCCCCCCAAAAAAAAAUGCAACAGUGAUGUCAGCUGAAUUGAAAAUAGUAAUAAUAAUAAUAAUUUGAAUUGAAUCAAAAUGGCUCCACCAACUCAAAAGACACUUAACUAUCUUUUGAUUUGGUGGAGCCAGUUAGAUUAGUUUCCCUUGACCCUGAUGACAAAAAUAAUUGAAUUUUGAAAUUGAAUGUGUUCUUCACCAGCUCGUCAAUAAUAGAGACGUGACGGUGAAUUUUUUUCCUGCUGAUCACUGCAUGUCAUCACAAGUGGAACACCACUCAGUGGUUUUUAAUACAACAGAUACAGUACCACACUGUACUUGGCUUCAGCUAUCUCCCGGCAAGAAUAAAAGCAGAAAAUCCUCUCUCUCCAUGUGAACCCUUUUUAUUCAUUUCCAAAACGCACGCCACCAAAUUUUAGAUAAGGAAGAUUCGAAUAUCCCCGUGUAUUUUGAAGGUAACACAUACCAAGUGAGCUCAUAAGGAAGAUAAGACGGAAGGUGGCUAAUGUUUGAUGGACUGCUGUUAUGAUCGAAUGACGGCUCAAAGGUCUAAAUCUGCUUUUUGAUCCGCCUUCACGCUUCACCCCAGAGGGAAUAGAAAUCUUUUACCGGCGUCCUGUCGGUUGCGCCGCCAUGGUGGAGCUGGCUUUCUACCCAGGCGUGGCCCUGAUGUACUUUUUUGCCGUGAUGAACGCCACCAAGUCGGAUCGGAUUGAACUGGAUGAUCGGGCGUCAAUGAACGUCUUCUGUCUGUUUGUACUGGCGCAGCCACUGUGUUUGGUACUGGGAGGAUACACCGGCAUGGCCACGUACCUCCUCACCGCGCUGGUCUCCUACAACUUCCUGCCAUGGAAGAAGACGAAACAGAUGACAAAAGACCCAAAGAAGACAAAGUGAAACAAAAUAUUGGGGGGUGGAGGGGGAAUGUUUCGUUUACAUCAAGUUGAAUGACAAAAGACAUGUCCGAGUAUUGUGACUAAAUGGACCAUUUAAUGUUUUUCUUCUCCCUUUUUUUUGGCUUGGUAAUUUAUUGUUAGUAAAAAGUAAAAGCAAUGAAAUGAAAAGACAUAUGGAUGAAACAAGAAAAAAUUCCUAAAUAUAUAUUUUGCUGGUCAGGGUAAAAAUGAAGUACUUUUUUUUUUGUUAGAAUGAUCACAAAGGAUUUAUUUUUUUCAAGCAGAUAAGGUUAAGGUUCUACAUAACUUGCAUUCUUAGAAAAAAUGUUUUUCAAGAUUCUCCAGGGAGGGGGGGGUGGUUCUCCAAAUUUUUGUGGCUAUAGGAAGACAAAUGAAAAUGCCCGUGUGAAACGAAUUUGUCCUAAUGAGUAGAAACUAAUGGAUACAUUGGUGUUAUUUGCGUUUAUUUUUUUCCAUUGUAGAAAUUCAUAUUACCAAUAAAUGCUGUACGAUGAGAAAGCCAAAUUAUUUUCCUUUUAAAUGAUCCAAUUUUUGAGGAGUUGUGUGAUGAGGCACGCACAUGAGAAUGUACGCUACACCCGUUCAAAAUGUGCCAAAGCUUCUCUGCAUCUUGUAUUUUUUUUUCUGCUGACCAAACAUGGACUGAUUUACGAGGAAACAAGACACGUUUGCAGUUUAACAAACAGUCCAGAUAGCGUUCGAUAGCGACUGUGGAGAUAAUGGAUUGCUGUCUCGAUAUUCCUCUGCAUUUGAAUUAUGGUCUUUAUUUAAAUACCACCAAAAUCUGACAUUUGAACAUGGGUGUGUAGACAUUUUAUAACAGCUGCAAUAAGCAGUUUGCCACCGGCGGUGAAUAUUUGGCACACUGGGGCAAAAUACAUCCCCGGUCGUGCUGUUCAUCUCACAAAUGCCUUUCGCUUUCCCUCCACAUGUGACAUCAUUAAAAGGACAAUAAACUG
Long non-coding RNA from Hippocampus zosterae (dwarf seahorse), 3328 nucleotides. RefSeq lists it as uncharacterized. The transcript has 2 exons. NCBI's taxonomy places the organism in Eukaryota, Metazoa, Chordata, Actinopteri, Syngnathiformes, Syngnathidae. The record is from RefSeq and is a predicted model, not a curated record.